RNAcentral lists this small nuclear RNA (61 nucleotides) under Salvator merianae (Argentine black and white tegu). RNAcentral's name for it is "U7 small nuclear RNA (ENSSMRG00000019293.1)". It matches the Rfam family "U7 small nuclear RNA". From Rfam's summary of the family: Animal histone pre-mRNAs are spliced by a different mechanism than nuclear pre-mRNAs and self-splicing introns. This processing involves the U7 snRNP, which contains only one RNA species: U7. Lineage: Eukaryota; Metazoa; Chordata; Lepidosauria; Squamata; Teiidae. The record is from Rfam by way of RNAcentral.
UAGUGAUUUCAGCUCUUUUUGUAUUUGUCUAGCAGGCUUUCUGCUUUAGCGGAGAGCCCAU